UACAGAGGUCUCAAGCGUUGUUCGGAUUCAUUGGGCGUAAAGGGCGCGUAGGCGGCUCGUGAAGUCGGGUGUGAAAGCCCGGGGCUCAACCCCGGAACGGCAUCCGAUACUGGCGGGCUUGAGACCGGGAGAGGAGGGUGGAAUACCCAGUGUAGAGGUGAAAUUCGUAGAUAUUGGGUGGAACACCGGUGGCGAAAGCGGCUCUCUGGCCCGGAUCUGACGCUGAGGCGCGAAAGCGUGGGGAGCAAACAGG
Molecule: ribosomal RNA, 253 nt
Filed under: uncultured bacterium
Lineage: Bacteria
Description: partial 16S ribosomal RNA
Rfam family: Bacterial small subunit ribosomal RNA
Source: RNAcentral